GUAACGGCGAGUGAAGCGGCAAAAGCUCAAAUUUGAAAUCUGGCCCUUUCAGGGUCCGAGUUGUAAUUUGUAGAGGAUGCUUCGGGAGCGGCGGCGGUCUAAGUCCCCUGGAACGGGGCGUCAUAGAGGGUGAGAAUCCCGUAUGCGGUCAGGUGCCUACGCUCAUGUGAAACUCCUUCGACGAGUCGAGUUGUUUGGGAAUGCAGCUCAAAAUGGGUGGUAAAUUUCAUCUAAAGCUAAAUAUUGGCCAGAGACCGAUAGCGCACAAGUAGAGUGAUCGAAAGAUGAAAAGCACUUUGGAAAGAGAGUUAAACAGUACGUGAAAUUGUUGAAAGGGAAGCGCUUGCAACCAGACUUGCGCGCGGCUGAUCAUCCGGUGUUCUCACUGGUGCACUCGGUCGCGCUCAGGCCAGCAUCGGUUUUGGUGGUUGGAUAAAGGCCUUAGGAAUGUAGCUCCUCUCGGGGAGUGUUAUAGCCUAGGGUGCAAUGCAGCCUACCGGGACCGAGGACCGCGCU
Molecule: ribosomal RNA, 516 nt
Filed under: uncultured Leuconeurospora
Lineage: Eukaryota; Fungi; Ascomycota; Sordariomycetes; Hypocreales
Description: eukaryotic LSU rRNA
Rfam family: Eukaryotic large subunit ribosomal RNA
Source: RNAcentral